Clupea harengus (Atlantic herring) is the source of this 4578-nucleotide long non-coding RNA. The record is from Ensembl. NCBI's taxonomy places the organism in Eukaryota, Metazoa, Chordata, Actinopteri, Clupeiformes, Clupeidae.
AUGGUCAAGAGGAAAAACUCUUAUGUUUAUUAGCCAUGAAUUUCACAUGGUGAAAAAAAUCACUUGUACAAAAUAAUGUUAACCGCCGUGGUUGAGCCAGAACACAUGAGCCAUGAAAGAAAAGAAAACAGAAAUCAAAAGAAAACACCAGAACACUGAGCAGAACAUACUCACAUCGACAGUGUUUUCAGAGAUGCAUUCUAUGUGCUUUUUUUCAUAUUUCACAUACAUUUACUGCAAAGUUUACACUGAGAGCUUAGUACAGAGAUGAGCGCACGUGUGUGUGUGUGUGUGUGUGUGUGCAUGUGUGAGUGUGUGAGUGUGUGUGUGUACGCAUGUGUCUGGGUAGGUGGGUGUGUGUGUGUGUGUGUGUGUGUGUGUGUGUGUGUGUGUGUGUGUGGAGGGCACAUUCUCAAAUCAGUGGUGGCCCAAUAGCAGGUGCCCUUCCCACUUCAAAAAACAAAACCAGACAAAAGAGGGAGCAAGCCAGACCUCCCCCAAAAAGGAAAGAGAAUGAAAAGCAGAACACUCGACAAUUACAAGUGAAAUGGUUGCAGUGCAUUCAUUGUUGACUGUUGCUGUGGCAACCCCACUCUAGCCAGGGAGAAUAGGGGAGGGGAGGGGGAGCCCUGCUAUCUGAUUGGCCACGAGGUGUACCAUGAAAAGGGCUCUUUGCUUUAAUAGAGGUCCAGAUCACAAGAGCUGACCUGACCCCCAGUGAGCCAAAAAGCACUGUGGAAUUCCCUGAAUCCGCUGCCAGAGGGGAGGGGGACCAGUGGAGCUUGGGGUGGGGGUUGUAGAGGGCUUGGGGGUGAUGUGGGGCAGAGUGGGGUAUUUGGUGGUAGGGGCUUGAGCGGGAUCUAAGAACACUCCAAGAAUGCAAAAGGGUGAGGCGGGCUCUAAGAAAGAAGCUGAGCUGAAACAGAGGCCAAAAGAAGACAGGGGGUUGUGUGGGGUGGGGUAGUGAGAUAUGAGACUUUUUUGGGGGGGAGGGUUGUCUUUGCGGGUUAGCAUCCCCCAAUACAGCACAGCAGUCAUGCAUUGUUGCUAAAGCAUCUGAAGAAACACCAGUGGGUGGGGAACACAUGGGCUCGGGCCCAUCCCUGUGAGUGUGGGAGCGGGUUAAGCGAACGCGGAGAGCAGAGCGGAGCAGCGUCCAAACCACAUGAGAGCAGCGCGGGCCUCACAAACACUCCUGCACCCCACGCCCCACUGGCUUCCCAGGCAAAACACUCAUCCCUAUCACUUACAUCAGUUACAGAUGUGCUCGCUCCGCAAGAAUGCCUGCUUCCACACCCCCCCACCUCCCCAAAGCAGCUGUAUCUGUAUGGGACUGGGCCGUGAUCUGGCUCCAGGAAGUACGCAUACACGCAUAAGCAUACACGCAUGGUAAGCAGCCAUUUGGGAAACCACAACAGAGAGCCACAGCUGGUGUAUGUUUUUUUUUUUUUUUGGUGAUUCAUGUGCGUCUUUUGGGCUUUCUGCUGCUCGUGGGUCUCUGUUGGUAGCGUAGCACAACUCAGAAUAAAAAAAAAGCACUAUGGUGACUCUCUCGCCUCGCACUCUUCCAGUUUCAGGCCUCUGGGACUCCGCUAGCUCCUCCGGCCUCCUGGCCUGAGCCAGUCCACGACUGAAGAAGAGGCUGUACCAGGGCCCGCCAUGGCAAAACAAGGACAAAUCAUCCUAAUAUUCAUUCCUCCUCUUCCUCAGCCAGCCACUGCUGUAACAUAGCCUGAGAGGUGUCAGACUUAGCGCUCCUUCCCCUCAACACACACACUCACACACACCAGAGUGGUAGUGACAGUUAGGCGUUGCCACAGUGACAGUUAUAGCUGUCAACAUGGUAUUCCAACAAUGCCUCUGCAAGGUCUCGCAGGUGUUCGCCGAGUAGAGUGGAAUGUCAUGCUGACAGUGACACACAAUAUUGUGUGUGUGUGCGUGUGAGGGAGAGAGAGCGAGAGAGAAAAGAGAUUUUCGGUUGGUCUGUGUGAGUGAUUUAAUUUAAGCGAGAAUGUGUGUGUGUGUGUGUGUGUGUGUGAGUGUGUGAGAGAGAGAGAGACUGAGUUUGUGUGUGAGGGUUUCAGUUCAGAUCAGAUGCCAGGGUUUGCUGUGGGGGAAGCAGGCUGAUGUGUGCUGAGGAGUCUAAAGCAGUUAACUAACUCUAGAACAGGCCUGGGCCUCUCUCUCCAGUCAGAUGCUACUUAACCAGGAAGGCACUGCUGUGCAAACCACCGUCACUGUGCCAGUCCACUGGUGGUCAUAGCACUACCCCUGGUUGAGCUAAAUCUGGUCCUGGUUUUAGCCAGCUGACUGGCCCCCAAUGCACUCUGGGAUGCAAUCUGAUAUCCUGACAUCAUUCCCUCCACUGACCCUUGCACGUUGACCCUUCACCUGAAACCAGAGGGUGAUACAGGGUCGUAGAAUAAACGCCCCUACCGCCGACAAACUAAAGAUGUGCAGAGCAGCAGCUGAAGGAAGGAGAGGAGAGAAAGAGAGAGGGAGUGAGGUAAGAGAAGAGAUAUGAUCCAUGCAUGGUAACAAAGCAUCCAGAAACUCCAUAAAAGCAAACAACGCAAUAAAUAUAAAAAUACAGGUUUUACAGAUAAAUCAAAUGUGGACAAAAAUGAAAAAAAUAAUUUUCUGAUAAAUUAAGACACAAAGAUGCAUCUUGAGAUGACUCUGCUGUUUUUCUUCGUUUUUUUUUUCCUGUUCAGAUCUUUUUUCUUUUCUUUUCUUAUUGUUUUUCAAUAGUCUUUCUUCCAUAUAGUUUUCAUGGAGACUUUCAUGGUAAUCUUGCAGUCAGUCAGUGUUGUCAUCAGCAAUGGUGCUUUUACGAGCCAUGACCAUAUGGGCUCAGAAUAGUUCUGUACCGGCGUGGGCAACACACACGCACACACACACACACACACACACACACACACCCCAUAAAUAUCCUGCAGAUGUAUGAACAAGCUGCUGUAUCCAACGACAAGCUUAAGAACAAAAGACUGAAGCCACUCAGGAACCUCUGCCACUGAUGGCUGUAACUGCUUGUUGUUGUUGUUGUUGUUGUUGUUGUUGUUGUUGUUACUGUUGAGCCAUUACUGCAGUAUAGGGCUGACAGCAGUCCCCAUAGUCCAUGGAAGGGUAGUUGUCUUAGAGGUGAUACGCGUGUGUGUGUGUGUGUUUGAGAUAGAGAGAUAGCGAGAAAUAGAAAGAGAGAGAGAGGGAUAGGGGUUAGGAAGGUUGUCAGCUGCAUCCUCCAUCAGAUAGACAAGCCAGGGCAUGACAAUCCACAUGCUCAUCAUUUCAUUCAAACACACACACACAAUCAUCCAACUCAUCCAAUCCUUAACACACACACACCUUGGACCCAACCAGUGCAACAUAAGGUGUCAGGGUGUCCAACUUUUCUCUCUAAAUGAGCAGAGUCUAGCCAACAUGAGCAUGCAGACACCAUCUGCUGUGUGUGUGUGUGUGUGAGAGAGAGUGUGUGUGUGUGUGUGUGAGGGUGGCAGUGUGUUUGUCUUUUCCCCAAUGCCAGCAAUGUGAGUGUUUGAAAGAGAGAGAGAGAGAGAGACUGUAACAUACCAGCCUUACACACACACACACACACACACACACACACACACACACACACACACACACACACCUCACAAAUAUUGUGAAAGAAAGUGCAGCAAGAUGACAGGCAGCUUAGAGAGAAACACACUGGGGAUGGCGGGCGGGGGUGGGGUCUGACAGUUAGAGAGAGAGAGCAAGAGAUUUCUGUUCUUUCUCCAUUAUGUGUACAUCUGAACUCAACAUGCUAAAUUAGUCUUCCUCGCCUCCUCCUCUUCCUCCUCCAACGAAGCUUCAAGACAAAGUCUCCACAAACAGAAGAAUCAUCCUUCAUGCAAUAUACACUGUCCAGGUCUCUCAAAAGGAGGUCUGUGCAGUAUUCUCCUGUUCUGCAUAUGCGUAUAGUACACUGGAAGAUGACUGGUCACUUAGCAACGAGCAGCCAAUGGUUUGUUUUCAUCGAAACCCCUCCUGUGAUAACAGGAUGUGACAUCACUCAGUACAGAAGUCCUUUCAGGAAACAGAAAUCCACUCAUGUCUUAAGGGGAUCGGGGGGCGUUUACGUCACACAAAGCGCUUGGUUGUCAGUUUAACACUGUGCAGAGCAGGGGUUUGGCAUUUGCAGAUGGGAAGUCUCUCUUGGGGGGUUUUGCAGGGGAGGGUUAGAGUGUGCUUCUUCACAGUCAAAACAGAUCCGGGAGAUGAUGAAAUCAAAAGAAGAGGAAGAGGAAGUCUGUGGAGAGAAGAGGCACAAACAAACGUUAGACAGGAAAGACAUUAAACAAACUCCAAUAUCUACGAUAAAUACCACACUACAACAACAGACCAACAGUUCUUGAGAAAAAUAUGGUUCCAAUGGCAAACCAUGUAGCUCCUAAACAAAUACACACAGAACCAGUUCACUCUCAAAUGCAAAUACAUUUACAUUUACACACACACAGACACACACAGACACACACAGACACACACACACAGAGACAGACACACACAGAGAAACACACACACACACACACACACACACACACACACACAGAGAGA